This 169-nucleotide ribosomal RNA is filed under the name Conocybe gigasperma. RNAcentral's name for it is "5.8S ribosomal RNA". It matches the Rfam family "5.8S ribosomal RNA". Rfam says of the family: 5.8S ribosomal RNA (5.8S rRNA) is a component of the large subunit of the eukaryotic ribosome. It is transcribed by RNA polymerase I as part of the 45S precursor that also contains 18S and 28S rRNA. The record is from RNAcentral. Lineage: Eukaryota; Fungi; Basidiomycota; Agaricomycetes; Agaricales; Bolbitiaceae.
UACAACUUUUAGCAACGGAUCUCUUGGCUCUCGCAUCGAUGAAGAACGCAGCGAAAUGCGAUAAGUAAUGUGAAUUGCAGAAUUCAGUGAAUCAUCGAAUCUUUGAACGCACCUUGCGCUCCUUGGUAUUCCGAGGAGCAUGCCUGUUUGAGUGUCAUUAAAUUCUCAA